RNAcentral lists this ribosomal RNA (1107 nucleotides) under uncultured bacterium. RNAcentral's name for it is "bacterial SSU rRNA". It matches the Rfam family "Bacterial small subunit ribosomal RNA", at positions 8 to 1104 of the family's 1533-position model. The record is from RNAcentral.
AGAGUUUGAUCCUGGCUCAGAUUGAACGCUGGCGGCAGGCCUAACACAUGCAAGUCGAACGGUAACAGGAAGCAGCUUGCUGCUUCGCUGACGAGUGGCGGACGGGUGAGUAAUGUCUGGGAAGCUGCCUGAUGGAGGGGGAUAACUACUGGAAACGGUAGCUAAUACCGCAUAAUGUCGCAAGACCAAAGAGGGGGACCUUCGGGCCUCUUGCCAUCGGAUGUGCCCAGAUGGGAUUAGCUUGUUGGUGGGGUAACGGCUCACCAAGGCGACGAUCCCUAGCUGGUCUGAGAGGAUGACCAGCCACACUGGAACUGAGACACGGUCCAGACUCCUACGGGAGGCAGCAGUGGGGAAUAUUGCACAAUGGGCGCAAGCCUGAUGCAGCCAUGCCGCGUGUAUGAGGAAGGCCUUCGGGUUGUAAAGUACUUUCAGCGGGGAGGAAGGGAGUAAAGUUAAUACCUUUGCUCAUUGACGUUACCCGCAGAAGAAGCACCGGCUAACUCCGUGCCAGCAGCCGCGGUAAUACGGAGGGUGCAAGCGUUAAUCGGAAUUACUGGGCGUAAAGCGCACGCAGGCGGUUUGUUAAGUCAGAUGUGAAAUCCCCGGGCUCAACCUGGGAACUGCAUCUGAUACUGGCAAGCUUGAGUCUCGUAGAGGGGGGUAGAAUUCCAGGUGUAGCGGUGAAAUGCGUAGAGAUCUGGAGGAAUACCGGUGGCGAAGGCGGCCCCCUGGGCGAAGACUGACGCUCAGGUGCGAAAGCGUGGGGAGCAAACAGGAUUAGAUACCCUGGUAGUCCACGCCGUAAACGAUGUCGACUUGGAGGUUGUGCCCUUGAGGCGUGGCUUCCGGAGCUAACGCGUUAAGUCGACCGCCUGGGGAGUACGGCCGCAAGGUUAAAACUCAAAUGAAUUGACGGGGGCCCGCACAAGCGGUGGAGCAUGUGGUUUAAUUCGAUGCAACGCGAAGAACCUUACCUGGUCUUGACAUCCACGGAAGUUUUCAGAGAUGAGAAUGUGCCUUCGGGAACCGUGAGACAGGUGCUGCAUGGCUGUCGUCAGCUCGUGUUGUGAAAUGUUGGGUUAAGUCCCGCAACGAGCGCAACCC